GGAACUACAACUCCCAGCAUGCCCCUCUGCGGUGGGCGGGGCCGGAGCCUGCGGGGACUGAGCAUGUGCGGGGGCGCGAGCCGGGGCCGGGCUGCAGGCGCGCGGCCACGGACUUGCAGGAGAAGUUGCAAGGCUGCACCGGGCACGGCUCGGGCUCGCUCGCUCGCUCCCUUUCUCUCCUUCUCUCCCUCUUUUGCUCUCUGGUGCAAGAGGAGGAGCCGCGGCACCGGCCGAGCAGCUGCACUAACGGCGGCGAGAGAUAAAGAAUUCUCUGGGAGUCAGUCGACUUUAUUGAAGUGCAAGUGAAAAGGUUGAUGUGACCUCUUCCCCGCUCCUU
Molecule: long non-coding RNA, 337 nt
Filed under: Ornithorhynchus anatinus (platypus)
Lineage: Eukaryota; Metazoa; Chordata; Mammalia; Monotremata; Ornithorhynchidae
Description: lncRNA (ENSOANG00000042873.1)
Source: RNAcentral